UAGGCCAGGCACUACUCUGUCCCAACAAUAAGCCCUGUACAUUGGGAAAGGUGCCGAGACAUGAACUUUGGUCUUCUCUGCAAUCCAUCUGGAGCAUUCACUGACAACAUCGACUUUGAAGUUGCACUGACCUGGCCAGCCCUGCCACUUACCAGGUUGGGCUGUGGCUUGCCUUUUCACUUCUUGUGUCCUGUUUAAGAAAUAUCUGCUAUCCCAAGAUUGAGCCUCAUAUUUCAUAUCUGCCCCUGGCCUAAUGGUUGUUUACAGAAUGAGCUCAAUGAAUAUUGUUAAAUAACACUAACAAAGUUGACCUUAGAAUUGGAGUGCCUGGGUUAGAACCCUGCUGGUACCACCUGCUUACUGCAUGCUUCUGAUGUGAGUUCAGGAGAAGACACUGGCAAGGACAGCAAAGAACAGGAGAACACUCUAGCUUCCCUGAUAGCAUUCAAGGUGCUGUCCAAAGCUCUUGAGUUUCUGCUUUCAAGUGACCCUCAGAAAUUCCUCCAUUCACUGCAGAGGUUCUGUUUCUCCUUGCUUUGUUCUGACUUUACGGCAGAACUAAGCUAAUGAGUUAGUUACUAUGGGUUAUCACUUGGAUUUGAAGAACCAUCAUUUCUAGGCAUUGCUGCUCAGAGUGGGUCUGCCCUCAGGGGAAGCUGUCUAACCAGAGCCUAACCCACUAGGGUUUUAUCAGAACCUAACUGACCUGAGGAAAAGAAAUACUCAACUCCAGCAAGCUCCAGCCUUCCAAAUGGAGGAGGAGAAAACCCAACUCCAGCCCACUUCAGCUAUCUUGUCCCACAUAAAGGGGAAGUGGAAGAAACCUGAGAAGCAGGCAUGAAGUUCACAGUCCAGAGGUACAGACACAUCAGAGUUCAGUAUCUGAUGAAUUAGAUGCAAAAACCUCAACAAAGUAUUAGCAAAUUGAAUUCAACAAUGUAUGAAAAUUAUUACAUGCCAUGACUAAUUGGAAUUUAUCUCAGGUAUACAAGCCACGCUGAACAUCUGAAAAUCAAUUCAUGUGAUCCAUCACAUUAGCAGACUCAA
This 1047-nucleotide long non-coding RNA is filed under the name Homo sapiens (human). RNAcentral describes it as "cancer susceptibility 19". The record is from RNAcentral. Lineage: Eukaryota; Metazoa; Chordata; Mammalia; Primates; Hominidae.